ACUCCUACGGGAGGCAGCAGUGGGGAAUAUUGCACAAUGGGCGCAAGCCUGAUGCAGCCAUGCCGCGUGUGUGAAGAAGGCCUUCGGGUUGUAAAGCACUUUCAGUCGUGAGGAAGGUAGUGUAGUUAAUAGCUGCAUUAUUUGUACGUUAGCGACAGAAGAAGCACCGGCUAACUCCGUGCCAGCAGCCGCGGUAAUACGGAGGGUGCGAGCGUUAAUCGGAAUUACUGGGCGUAAAGCGCAUGCAGGUGGUUGUUAAGUCAGAUGUGAAAGCCCGGGGCUCAACCUCGGAAUAGCAUUUGAAACUGGCAGACUAGAGUACUGUAGAGGGGGUAGAAUUUCAGGUGUAGCGGUGAAAUGCGUAGAGAUCUGAAGGAUACCGGUGGCGAAGGCGGCCCCUGGACAGAUACUGACACUCAGAUGCGAAAGCGUGGGAGCAAAC
RNAcentral lists this ribosomal RNA (442 nucleotides) under uncultured bacterium. RNAcentral describes it as "bacterial SSU rRNA". It matches the Rfam family "Bacterial small subunit ribosomal RNA", at positions 335 to 773 of the family's 1533-position model. The record is from RNAcentral.